AGUAAAUAGAUACCCGGGUAGUCCACGCCGUAAACGAUGAGUACUAGGUGUAGGAGGUAUCGACUCCUUCUGUGCCGCAGUUAAACACAAUAAGUACUCCGCCUGGGAAGUACGGUCGCAAGAUUAAAACUUAAAGGAAUUGACGGGGGCCCGCACAAGCAGCGGAGCAUGUGGUUUAAUUCGAAGCAACGCGAAGAACCUUACCUAGACUUGACAUCUCCUGAAUAGUGUAGAGAUACAUGAAGCCCUUCGGGCGAGGAAGACAGGUGGUGCAUGGUUGUCGUCAGCUCGUGUCGUGAGAUGUUGGGUUAAGUCCCGCAACGAGCGCAACCUUACUUACU
This 341-nucleotide ribosomal RNA is filed under the name uncultured bacterium. RNAcentral's name for it is "bacterial SSU rRNA". It matches the Rfam family "Bacterial small subunit ribosomal RNA", at positions 775 to 1112 of the family's 1533-position model. The record is from RNAcentral.